UACAGAGGUCUCAAGCGUUGUUCGGAUUCAUUGGGCGUAAAGGGUGCGUAGGCGGCGCGGUAAGUCGGGUGUGAAAACUCGAGGCUCAACUUCGAGCUGUCGGCGGAAACUAUCUGGCUAGAGUCCGGAAGAGGAGAGUGGAAUUCCUGGUGUAGCGGUGAAAUGCGUAGAUAUCUGGAGGAACACCGGUGGCGAAGGCGGCAUCCUGGACCAACACUGACGCUGAGUGAGCGAAAGCCAGGGGAGCAAACGGG
This 254-nucleotide ribosomal RNA is filed under the name uncultured bacterium. Its description in RNAcentral is "partial 16S ribosomal RNA". It matches the Rfam family "Bacterial small subunit ribosomal RNA", at positions 524 to 776 of the family's 1533-position model. The record is from RNAcentral.